GUUGAACGCUGGCGGCAUGCCUAAUACAUGCAAGUCGAGCGAACAGACGAGGAGCUUUCUCCUCUUACGUUAGCGGCGGACGGGUGAGUAAAACGUGGAUAACCUACCUUUAAGACUGGGAUAACUUCGGGAAACCGGUGCUAAUACCGGAUAAUAUAUUGAACCGCAUGGUUCAAUAGUGAAAGACGGUUUUGCUGUCACUUAUAGAUGGAUCCGCGCCGGAUUAGCUAGUUGGUAAGGUAACGGCUUACCAAGGCAACGAUGCGUAGCCGACCUGAGAGGGUGAUCGGCCACACUGGAACUGAGACACGGUCCAGACUCCUACGGGAGGCAGCAGUAGGGAAUCUUGCGCAAUGGGCGAAAGCCUGACGGAGCAACGCCGCGUGUGUGAUGAAGGUCUUCGGAUCGUAAAACUCUGUUAGUAGGGAAGAACAAAUGUGUAAGUAACUAUGCACGUCUUGACGGUACCUACUCAGAAAGCAACGGCUAACUACGUG
This 497-nucleotide ribosomal RNA is filed under the name uncultured bacterium. RNAcentral's name for it is "partial 16S ribosomal RNA". It matches the Rfam family "Bacterial small subunit ribosomal RNA", at positions 28 to 507 of the family's 1533-position model. The record is from RNAcentral.